UGGGGAAUAUUGCACAAUGGGCGCAAGCCUGAUGCAGCCAUGCCGCGUGUGUGAAGAAGGCCUCGGGUUGUAAAGCACUUUCAGCGAGGAGGAAGGUGGUGAGCUUAAUACGCUCAUCAAUUGACGUUACUCGCAGAAGAAGCACCGGCUAACUUCGUGCCAGCAGCCGCGGUAAUACGGAGGGUGCAAGCGUUAAUCGGAAUUACUGGGCGUAAAGCGCACGCAGGCGGUUUGUUAAGUCAGAUGUGAAAUCCCCGGGCUCAACCUGGGAACUGCAUUUGAAACUGGCAAGCUAGAGUCUCGUAGAGGGGGGUAGAAUUCCAGGUGUAGCGGUGAAAUGCGUAGAGAUCUGGAGGAAUACCGGUGGCGAAGGCGGCCCCCUGGACGAAGACUGACGCUCAGGUGCGAAAGCGUGGGGCAGCAAACAGGAUUAGAUACCCUGGUAGUCCACGCUGUAAACGAUGUCGAUUUUGGAGGUUGUGCCCUUGAGGCGUGGCUUCCGGAGCUAACGCGUUAAAUCGACCGCCUGGGGAGUACGGCCGCAAGGUU
This 549-nucleotide ribosomal RNA is filed under the name uncultured bacterium. Its description in RNAcentral is "partial 16S ribosomal RNA". It matches the Rfam family "Bacterial small subunit ribosomal RNA", at positions 355 to 895 of the family's 1533-position model. The record is from RNAcentral.